GAUGAACGCUGGCGGCGUGCCUAAUACAUGCAAGUCGAGCGAACAGACGAGGAGCUUGCUCCUCUGACGUUAGCGGCGGACGGGUGAGUAACACGUGGAUAACCUACCUAUAAGACUGGGAUAACUUCGGGAAACCGGAGCUAAUACCGGAUAAUAUAUUGAACCGCAUGGUUCAAUAGUGAAAGACGGUUUUGCUGUCACUUAUAGAUGGAUCCGCGCCGCAUUAGCUAGUUGGUAAGGUAACGGCUUACCAAGGCAACGAUGCGUAGCCGACCUGAGAGGGUGAUCGGCCACACUGAAACUGAGACGCGGUCCAGACUCCUACGGGAGGCAGCAGUAGGGAAUCUUCCGCAAUGGGCGAAAGCCUGACGGAGCAACGCCGCGUGAGUGAUGAAGGUCUUCGGAUCGUAAAACUCUGUUAUUAGGGAAGAACAAAUGUGUAAGUAACUAUGCACGUCUUGACGGUACCUAAUCAGAAAGCCACGGCUAACUACGUG
This 497-nucleotide ribosomal RNA is filed under the name uncultured bacterium. Its description in RNAcentral is "partial 16S ribosomal RNA". It matches the Rfam family "Bacterial small subunit ribosomal RNA", at positions 28 to 507 of the family's 1533-position model. The record is from RNAcentral.